Salmo salar (Atlantic salmon) is the source of this 3634-nucleotide non-coding RNA. The record is from RefSeq and is a predicted model, not a curated record. NCBI's taxonomy places the organism in Eukaryota, Metazoa, Chordata, Actinopteri, Salmoniformes, Salmonidae.
CCCUCUCCCAUCCCUCUCCCAUCCCUCUCCCAUCCCCCUCCCAUCCCUCUCCCAUCCCUCUCCCAUCCCUCUCCCAUCCCUCUCCCAUCCCCUCCCAUCCCCCUCCCAUCCCCCUCCCAGCCAGCAGGUUUCCAAAGUUCCCCCAGCUCCCUCCGUAACUGUUGUGUGAUUUGAGCGACUUGUUCCGCUUGUUAUCCUUCUCGUGUUGACUUUAGGCCUCAGCUGCCUCUUGGAUGAGUUUGUCUCUAUUCGUUUUUAUUAUUUUAUGGAAAACGCAGGCCGCCUGUGGUGCUUGUUGGUCAGACGAUGGAUCCCCUAUAGUGGGUUUAUUGGUAGGAAGGUUAGGGUCCCCUAUAGUGGGUUUAUUGGUAGGAAGGUUAGGGUCCCCUAUAGUGGGUUUAUUGGUAGGAAGGUUAGGGUCCCCUAUAGUGGGUUUAUUGGUAGGAAGGUUAGGAUCCCCUAUAGUGGGUUUAUUGGUAGGAAGGUUAGGAUCCCCUAUAGUGGGUUUAUUGGUAGGAAGGUUAGGGUCCCCUAUAGUGGGUUUAUUGGUAGGAAGGUUAGGGUCCCCUAUAGUGGGUUUAUUGGUAGGAAGGUUAGGAUCCCCUAUAGUGGGUUUAUUGGUAGGAAGGUUAGGAUCCCCUAUAGUGGGUUUAUUGGUAGGAAGGUUAGGGUCCCCUAUAGUGGGUUUAUUGGUAGGAAGGUUAGGGUCCCCUAUAGUGGGUUUAUUGGUAGGAAGGUUAGGGUCCCCUAUAGUGGGUUUAUUGGUAGGAAGGUUAGGAUCCCCUAUAGUGGGUUUAUUGGUAGGAAGGUUAGGGUCCCCUAUAGUGGGUUUAUUGGUAGGAAGGUUAGGAUCCCCUAUAGUGGGUUUAUUGGUAGGAAGGUUAGGAUCCCCUAUAGUGGGUUUAUUGGUAGGAAGGUUAGGAUCCCCUAUAGUGGGUUUAUUGGUAGGAAGGUUUACAAUAACUGAGGUUAUGUUUUCAACAGGCUUCACAUGAAGAACACAUCUGGCCCAUUAAAAAAAAAGAAGCUAAUUGUGUACAUUCAGAAACAUUACCGGCAGUAUUUGUUGUGGUUUUGUGUCUAUUCUGUCAACAUUGUCAUACCUUUAUCUCCAAUACUCCAACAAGACUGAAACUGGUCGAUGAAUUCCAGACCUCAUCACCUCCCCCCCUCCUUUGUCUGGCUUUUUUUUCCUUUGGCAAAAUAAUAAUUAGACUGCAAAGUAGUCUCAUUGUCAAUCACUACAUCCUUCCACUGGUCCCGCAAUCAAUGAGAUUGAUUAUAAUUUCCCCGUACUAGUGUAUUAAGGGAAUAGUUUGUAGUUAAUACACAAAAUGAAUGAGUACAAGUAUACGCCUGUAGGUGUCUAUUCAUCUAUUAAACUCAGUGUACAUGCAGCACAACGAACUGUAGGAUAUUUUCCUAUUAUCUUCUGAUGCAGGAAAUGUACUGAUUUAACUCAAUUACUACAAGCAAUAGGAAUGUUCUUCAUUCAGAUGCUAUACGUCUGAAGUCAUCAGAAUUGAUCUCCCAAAUAUCUUCUUGGUUGUGACCGUCAGACUUACACUGCAAGGCAGAAAAUAUGCUGAAAAACGAUAUAAAAAGGGAACGAGGUGUGUUUGCCCUAAAAUUACAAUCAUCUGCAUAUGCUAUCAACGAGCACAAAACAGAUGCAGAAAAAAGAGAUGAAAGCAAGGGUUCAAAGCAGAUGUGCAUUUUGCAGGCAGGGUUUCUUAUGUUGAGAAAUGAGCUCUAUCUGAUCAACAGGCAAGUGGAGAUGGAGGAUGGGAGACUAGAGGUGCUGGAAACACUCCUGUCCUCUCUGUCCCUCUUUGGCGCGUUAAUCAGUCUGGCCCUGAACCCUCAUCAUGGUGCUGCGUUGAACCUAUAUGGGAGCUUUGUUUGGGUAGAGCACAGUUCAUCUUCCCUUUUUCAUUUGUUCCUCCACUAUUGGCCCCUUAGAUAAACUAAAUCUCUGGCUGGAUUUUGUUUUACUCCAUUUCUGAAAAUGUUUAGUUUUUUUAAAAGAACUAAAAUCAUGACAUUGUUUUGUAAUAUCACAUAAACACCGCUGGGCCCAGACACCAAUAUGUCUCUUGUGACAGUGUACAUGUGUAGAUACUGAACCGCCAUUGUCCUUUUGAAACAGGAGGCAGAAGACAAGAAGGGAAGCUUGGCUGGAACUAGUGCUAGCUCUUCUCACAGCUAGUUAUACUGCCAGGCAUAUCUGCAAGGUUUCACAGAUCUUUUAGCAGCCAGUUCUUUAAUACUGCACAUUGUUAUGAUCUUAAAUGGUUUUUUCUUUCUUUUCCUCCAUCUUUUUCCUUUUCUUUUACCUGUACCGGAUUUUCGGUUAGAUUCCCAAAUGUUCAUUGUAUUUGAAAGCAUUGUGUGUGGCUGAUUGUCUUACCUGUGGAUACCCAUUGAGUGUUUAGGCUUUGUUUAAUGGCCAAAAUCAGUCAGUCAGUUAGUCAGUCAGCCAUUUAAAGCACAGUCUGAUUGCUCAUUCAGUUAAAAAGCCAAGAUCACUUAAGAUAGUCAACCAUUGAGCGCUUCAUUAGUGAAGGAGGACUACUUUAUGGAGAAGAGAUCAGUGUAGCGAUUUUGAAUUGACCAUUUGAUUGCUAGUUGAAGUCAGCGUGGGUGCUGCAGACUCUGGGACUGACCUUAGGAAUGGGUGUUUAGAGGGACACGAUGAGAAUGUGGAUAUAAAAGUGAUAGGGAAGUCUUGGCAGCCCAUGGUUUUGUAUGUUGCAUUUCAUCACUGGUAAUGAUGAAGGCACUAAUGAAAAACUCCCGGACAGCCGUAGGGUAUGUAGUAAAUCCACCCCCACAGCUCAGAGGAGAUGGGAUGGGCUGGAAAGAGCUCAUGGAUGUGAUCAGAGGUAAAGAGGAAGGGAAAGACAAUGACUGGAUCACCCUCUUAACUGUGUGUGUGCUUGUGUGUCUGUGUGCGAGUGAGUACAUUUUGUUUAAAAAGACAAUACAUUUUUUUAAAUACUGCUGGAGAUGUACCUGCCAGAGAGAUUACGAUGAUAUGAAAAAAGAAAAUAAGCCUUGUACAAGGCUUGUUACAUUACGGAGAAAACUGCCAAGAAGUACUGCUGAUUGAGGCCUAUUUUAUUCAGUGCUGGUGUGUUGUUGUGCUUCUUGUAAAUAAAUGUCUUUUCAAUCAUCCCUUUUUCCUCUGGGGGCGGGGCAUCAAGGCAAGGGGUUGGUCUUACUCAUGAAAGAGGGAAAAGAAUAGAGUAUUUUGUUAUUGUCCAAUCAGAGGGUGAGACCGUAUGUGUAUAUAUCUAUAUUGUAUAUAUGUGAUGAAAAUGUGUUGGCUUUUUGUGACACUACCUUUUACCUGUACUAUGGUUCUACAUUCAGUGUUUCAGUGUUGAUAAUAUAUAUUUUUAUGUUUUUUUGAUUUUGUCUUUGUCAUUUCUUGUAUUUGUUUUCUUUUUCUCCUUUUUGUCCUCUUGGUUAUUGCACGGUUUAUUACUUUUGCUGUCCAAUGAGGUGAUACAGCUACUCUUUGUAUUGGUUUAGUGCUGUAAAAUAACUUGUUAUUAGAGUUGUCGAUACCACCCCCAUCCCCAAUAUGCAUGAAUGGCACUUAAACAAAUAAAAUGUUCACUUCACUGUG